Molecule: ribosomal RNA, 199 nt
Filed under: uncultured bacterium
Lineage: Bacteria
Description: partial 16S ribosomal RNA
Rfam family: Bacterial small subunit ribosomal RNA
Source: RNAcentral
ACGCUCGACACCUACGGGAGGGCAGCAGUGGGGAAUAUUGCACAAUGGGGGAAACCCUGAUGCAGCGACGCCGCGUGAGCGAAGAAGUAUUUCGGUAUGUAAAGCUCUAUCAGCAGGGAAGAAACUGACGGUACCUGACUAAGAAGCACCGGCUAAAUACGUGCCANAGCCGCGGUAAUCUGAGCGGGCGUGGCAAGGC